AACGAACGCUGGCGGCAGGCCUAACACAUGCAAGUCGAGCGAGGACUUCGGUCCUAGCGGCGGACGGGUGUGUAACGCGUGGGAACGUGCCCUUUGCUUCGGAAUAGCCCUGGGAAACUGGGAGUAAUACCGGAUGAGCCCUUUGGGGGAAAGAUUUAUCGGCGAAGGAUCGGCCCGCGUUGGAUUAGGUAGUUGGUGGGGUAAUGGCCUACCAAGCCGACGAUCCAUAGCUGGUUUGAGAGGAUGAUCAGCCACACUGGGACUGAGACACGGCCCAGACUCCUACGGGAGGCAGCAGUGGGGAAUCUUAGACAAUGGGGGAAACCCUGAUCUAGCCAUGCCGCGUGAGCGAUGAAGGCCUUAGGGUUGUAAAGCUCUUUCAGCUGGGAAGAUAAUGACGGUACCAGCAGAAGAAGCCCCGGCUAACUCCGUG
This 433-nucleotide ribosomal RNA is filed under the name uncultured bacterium. RNAcentral's name for it is "partial 16S ribosomal RNA". It matches the Rfam family "Bacterial small subunit ribosomal RNA", at positions 29 to 507 of the family's 1533-position model. The record is from RNAcentral.